CCUAAAACUUUUCUACCUCCCCAUUUCAGCUUCUGUGUCUGUUUAUGCAAAUUUGUUUUCUGCUUCUCUGCUUCAGUUCUCAAAGCCUGGAUAUGUUUCUCUUUAAAUUUGCCGUUAUUCUUGUCUUCUCCACUAGUUCUGUAAUAUCCUCCAAACUUUCUCUCUCUAGCUCACAUCUCUCUUUCUCUGCAAGUUUUUUCUCGUUUUCUAGUUCACCCUUUUGUUGCCUCUUCCUCUAUGUCUACAGAUCUGAAUUUUCUAUAACCAAAAAAAGAGAGAAGACAGGGGUUUUUUUGGCAUCAUCUCUUCAUUUUAUUUCUUCUUUUUUUUUCCUUCUUUCCCUUCAAGCCGCUUCUUCCUAUUCUACAAUUUUUUUUCACUCUUCAAAACAGCACUGUUUUGGCGUCUGGUUUCCAGACACAAAACAAUGUCGUUCUGGAAGGUUGGGAGUGGCUUUGAAUGGAUUAUGGCCUGGGUUGCUAUAGAUCUGGGUUUUGGCCUUCUUCAUCUUUUCUUCUUCUCUUCUUCAGCCUCUUUUUUAUCUUCUCUUCAACUAUUUAACCUAUAUAAAAAAAUUAAUCCAUAAAUUAAUUUUUAACUCAAAUUAAUUUCAAAAUUAUUUCAAAUUUAAGUAAAAAGUAUAUUAAAAAUGUUAUAAAAAUACAAUACAUCAAAUAAUUCUAACUUAAUUUUGCUUGUUGAUGUGACCCUAGGAGGGCCUCCCAGUUACCUAGGAGGUAACCAUCAGAUUUCACGCCAAUUCGAAAACAAAGCUUGAGAGAAGCCCGGACCAAGGAAACAGAGUCGAGGUUCGACAACAAGACCAAUCCCUUGAAGCCCAAGGAUCCAGUUUGUGCAAGGUUAUAUUGGGUAAGAUGGAUCAUCGAUGCCAUCAAACCACGAAGCCUUAUGGGUCACCGAGACAACGAGCCCAAAGAAGCAUAUAAGACAAUGAGUUGUAGGCUUUUAGAUUGAUCCUAGAAGACGACGGUAGCAUGUCCAAGACGAAGCACGGAGGGGAGGUACUUGCGAGCGGGCGACCCGAGUCACCCGGCCCGUUAGGCCCCACCUGCGACCUAGUAAGCCGUGUGCCCGAGGAGAACGUGUGGCCCAUACCGCAUGCCACUGCAAGUGGGCCGAACGAGGCCCAUCAGGGAGACCCAAAGAUUGGUCCUCAUCCCAAGGCCCGAUCCAACAAACCCGCACCCGAGAGAGAAGGAAUCGGGCCAAACACCCGACCCAGCAGCAACCGCGGGCCCAACCGAGGAAAAACCUGGGCGGGCCGCAAACUCGUGAAGCCUGAAGGACGUGCACGUAUGUGCGGGCUUCCCUAGUGCGCACGGGUGAGGUGUGUGUAUGAAGGAAAGUGGCAGCGAAAUGCUGCUGCAUGAAGAGA
Molecule: non-coding RNA, 1396 nt
Organism: Carica papaya (papaya)
Lineage: Eukaryota; Viridiplantae; Streptophyta; Magnoliopsida; Brassicales; Caricaceae
Source: RefSeq, a predicted model, not a curated record